This 253-nucleotide ribosomal RNA is filed under the name uncultured bacterium. RNAcentral's name for it is "partial 16S ribosomal RNA". It matches the Rfam family "Bacterial small subunit ribosomal RNA", at positions 524 to 776 of the family's 1533-position model. The record is from RNAcentral.
UACGUAGGGGGCUAGCGUUGUCCGGAUUUAUUGGGCGUAAAGAGCGUGUAGGCGGCCAGGUAGGUCUGCUGUGAAAACUCGAGGCUCAACCUCGAGACGUCGGCGGAAACCAUCUGGCUAGAGUCCGGAAGAGGAGAGUGGAAUUCCUGGUGUAGCGGUGAAAUGCGCAGAUAUCAGGAAGAACACCCGUGGCGAAGGCGGCUCUCUGGGACGGUACUGACGCUGAGACGCGAAGGCGUGGGGAGCGAACAGG